Zingiber officinale is the source of this 2204-nucleotide RNA transcript. It is a transcript of the gene named P-loop NTPase domain-containing protein LPA1 homolog 1-like, with no coding region annotated. The transcript is spliced from 17 exons. The record is from RefSeq and is a predicted model, not a curated record. NCBI's taxonomy places the organism in Eukaryota, Viridiplantae, Streptophyta, Magnoliopsida, Zingiberales, Zingiberaceae.
CGGUUCGACGAAACAACUCGGGCUAGAGAGAACGGAUUCGAUUGUAUUCUUUUCAGUGGAAGGGAGGGAUGGUUUGCCGUUUGUUGCACGACGUCCCCGAGGCGGUAAAGCGUAGAAGCAUGGCGACAUCUGAGAUCCAGUCCACCAAGGGGAAGUCCGUAUGCUCCGUCUCACUCUCGGUUCCUCUCCCCACGUCGUCGGUUGAGGACGAGCCGCCCGACGAGAAGAAAGGUAAGACCGUCUCCCACCCACCCGCCCGAUUGCCGUCCCGAAACGCUUCCUCCAAGUACGACUUCGUCAAGGUGAAAGUAUGGCUCGGUGACAAUGCCGAUCACUACUACGUCCUCUCCAGAUUUCUUCUCAGCAGAAUGCUAACCGUUACCAAGAUUCCUAAUCAUGUGGCUAUCAAAAUUGCACUUGAACUCAAAAAGCUACUCGUGGAUAAUAGCCUUCUCGAUGUAUCACAGUCUGACCUGGAAGCCAAUCUUUUCAAGCUCAUGGAGCGAAGAAAUUAUGGAGAAGAGUACAUAAACCGAUAUAAAAUGAUGACUAGGUUUCAUCACCAAAGAGUACCAUUGGUCAUUCUUGUAUGUGGAACUGCUUGUACUGGAAAGUCCACGAUUGCAACACAACUUGCUCAAAGACUUAAUUUACCAAAUGUCUUGCAGACAGAAAUGGUGUAUGAACUUUUGCGCACAUCAACAGAUGCCCCAUUGACUUCCACACCAGUUUGGGCUCGUGAUUUUAAUUCACCUGAAGAGCUAAUAACAGAGUUCUGUAGAGAAUGCAGGAUUGUUAGGAAAGGCUUGGCUGGUGACUUGAAGAAGGCAAUGAAAGAUGGGAAGCCUAUCAUAAUUGAAGGUAUACAUUUGGACCCAAGUAUUUAUUUAAUGGAAGAGGAAAACAAAGAUUCCAAUCCAAAAGAUGUAGUGUCAGGAACUUUGGUGGACACUACAAAAAUAGUGGAAAGUAGUCCAGAAAAUGUCAUUGAUGAGAGCUGUUCUGCAUCUGUAGAUGAUACUGAGAAUACUUUGACUGUCCCAGAGACGGAAGUAACUAUGGAUGAGAGAGGCACUUCUGAGCUUAAAGACGCUAAUGAUUCAAGACCUACUUUGGGUGCUGACAUUUCUUCUGAAUCUCUAGGUGAUGCUCAUAAGGACUUGAAGUUGCAAAUUGACAACACCUUGAAACCUGAAAAAUCAGGCAGUGAGCCAAUAAUUAUUCCAAUAGUUUUAAAGAUGGCUGAGUUUGAUCACAAGGCUCUUUUAGAGGAAUGGGUAGGCACUCGAACAUUUCAAGAUAAAUGCAUAGUCAAGGACCAAAAUAAGCUUAUAAGCAACUUGAAAACCAUUCAGGAUUAUCUUUGUUCUUUUGAGUCACAGGGAAUGACAGUCGUGAACAUAUCUGCGACAACAUUCCCUCAAACUCUGGAUCGUCUCCAUAGCUAUCUUCUUCAGUGUAUUGAGCAAGGAAUUCCGGUUGCAGCUUCUAAAAACGGUAGGCCCUAGGAGAACUAGGGUAUUCAGAGCUUCAGAUCUAAAGCAGUUGAGAGUCACUUUGUUAUGACUUUCAUAUACCAUUUCAAUUCAUGAUGGUGUAUGCAUUGGCAUUUUGAUCAUGAAGGGUAGUGCGAAUUGGAGGAUGAUUUUAGUCUUUAAAAAUUGGUAAGAACGUCAGUGUUUCGUUUGUUUUCAUUUAUUGUCCAACUCAAAUGGUCUCCUGCUGAAUUUCGUGCUUGAAUUUUGGUAUGCAAUAAUCUCGACAUCAAAUUUCAAAUGCCUCGGUUAUGAUUCGGUGCAUCCGAGAAAACAUUCUGACCCAGUUGAAAUGUUAGUUCCAACGAAGUUCUGCAAAAUGCAUUGCGGAUGAACUGAAAUACGUUACCACUUUCGUUCCUCAGCCAUACAAGUAAAUGUGGCAGCUCUUCACAUGGAAAUCAAAGUUGAUGAAUUUGUGGAUGGAUGUGCAGUUGCAUUAAGAAGAAAAAAUGGGCCAUUAAUUUUUUUUGUUGUUGUAACUAAGGAGGAGGAUGAUGUUGUUGCACUGAUGUCCACAGUCCACCACUCUGACUGUGAUUACCGCAUCAUCUCCCUUCAGCUUUUGCCUAAUUAAUCAGGUCUUUUUAUUGCUGCUACAAUAAUAAAUAAAUGGAAAGAUUUUUAAAAUUAUUAAUGUUAUGAGUUAAUAUCUUUAAAAAUUUUAAA